Molecule: long non-coding RNA, 189 nt
Organism: Amblyraja radiata (thorny skate)
Lineage: Eukaryota; Metazoa; Chordata; Chondrichthyes; Rajiformes; Rajidae
Exons: 3
Source: RefSeq, a predicted model, not a curated record
UGGUAAAAACUGUUGUCCUCACCAUCCCUCGAGGCAAACUAAACUCUAAAUCUCUGAGUCUACGCUAGCCUCUCCAGAUGCAGACACACCUCUCUACGUAUCAAAUCCCACCUACCAGCGUACAUGCAGAUAAGAACUAGAAAUAUCCAGACAUUACUAUAAUAUACUGACUUAAGCAUAAAUGGCUCC